This 245-nucleotide ribosomal RNA is filed under the name uncultured bacterium. RNAcentral describes it as "partial 16S ribosomal RNA". It matches the Rfam family "Bacterial small subunit ribosomal RNA", at positions 524 to 768 of the family's 1533-position model. The record is from RNAcentral.
AACGUAGGUGGCAAGCGUUAUCCGGAAUUACUGGGCGUAAAGGGUGUGCAGGCGGGGCCACAAGUGGUGUAUGAAAUCUCCCAGCUUAACUGGGAGGGGUUAUGCCAGACUGUGGUUCUAGAGGACGAGAGAGGGGGGUGGAAUUCCGGGUGUAGUGGUGAAAUGCGUAGAGAUCCGGAGGAACCCCAGAGGCGAAGGCGGCCCCCUGGCUCGUACCUGACGCUCAGCCACGAAAGCAUGGGGAG